CCUACGGGAGGCAGCAGUCGAGAAUCAUUCACAAUGGGGGAAACCCUGAUGGUGCGACGCCGCGUGGGGGAAUGAAGGUCUUCGGAUUGUAAACCUCUGUCAGCAGGGAAGAACGGUCACUGUGCUAAUCAGCAGUGAAUUGACGGUACCUGCAAAGGAAGCACCGGCUAACUCCGUGCCAGCAGCCGCGGUAAUACGGAGGGUGCGAGCGUUAAUCGGAAUUAUUGGGCGUAAAGCGCUCGUAGGCGGUAUGUCAAGUCAAGGGUGAAAUGCCCGCGCUCAACGUGGGAACUGCCUUGGAAACUGGCAAACUGGAGUGUGUGAGAGGAUAGUGGAAUUCCAGGUGUAGGAGUGAAAUCCGUAGAUAUCUGGAGGAACAUCAGUGGCGAAGGCGACUAUCUGGCACAUAACUGACGCUGAGGAGCGAAAGCGUGGGUAGCAAACAGGAUUAGAUACCCCUGUAGUC
RNAcentral lists this ribosomal RNA (466 nucleotides) under uncultured bacterium. Its description in RNAcentral is "partial 16S ribosomal RNA". It matches the Rfam family "Bacterial small subunit ribosomal RNA", at positions 338 to 795 of the family's 1533-position model. The record is from RNAcentral.